Molecule: long non-coding RNA, 144 nt
Organism: Thalassophryne amazonica
Lineage: Eukaryota; Metazoa; Chordata; Actinopteri; Batrachoidiformes; Batrachoididae
Exons: 3
Source: RefSeq, a predicted model, not a curated record
UUCAAAAGUAUUCUCUGGUCACAAGGCCAGAGCCCUGGGUUUUAGCCUUCUGGUUAGAGAGUCUGACUCCCAUGCAGAGGAUCGUGAGUUCGUGUCCUGAGAGGAGUGAAUGGGCGGAGUCAUAACAACACAAUGCAGAGUGCA